GAUAAACGCUGGCGGCGUGCCUAACACAUGCAAGUCGAACGCCCUUUUGCGCAAGUGAGAGGGAGUGGCGGACGGGUGAGUACCACGUGGGUACCUACCUUGAGGUGAGGAAUACCACCGAGAAAUCGGUGACAAGACCGCAUACGCUUGGCAACAAGCAAAGUCUCGCAAGAGACGCCACAGGAUGGGCCUGCGCCUGAUUAGCUAGUUGGUGAGGUAAUGGCUCACCAAGGCGACGAUCAGUAGCUGGUCUGAGAGGAUGAUCAGCCACACUGGGAUUGAGAACGGCCCAGACUCCGUACGGGG
Molecule: ribosomal RNA, 306 nt
Filed under: uncultured bacterium
Lineage: Bacteria
Description: bacterial SSU rRNA
Rfam family: Bacterial small subunit ribosomal RNA
Source: RNAcentral